RNAcentral lists this ribosomal RNA (460 nucleotides) under uncultured bacterium. Its description in RNAcentral is "partial 16S ribosomal RNA". It matches the Rfam family "Bacterial small subunit ribosomal RNA", at positions 338 to 795 of the family's 1533-position model. The record is from RNAcentral.
CCUACGGGUGGCAGCAGUGAGGAAUAUUGGUCAAUGGACGAGAGUCUGACCCAGCCAAGUAGCGUGAAGGAUGACUGCCCUAUGGGUUGUAAACUUCUUUUAUAUGGGAAUAAAAUGUUCCACGUGUGGGAUUUUGUAUGUACCAUAUGAAUAAGGAUCGGCUAAGUCCGUUCCAGCAGCCGCGGUAAUACGGAGGAUCCGAGCGUUAUCCGGAUUUAUUGGGUUUAAAGGGAGCGUAGGUGGAAUGUUAAGUCAGUUGUGAAAGUUUGCGGCUCAACCGUAAAAUUGCAGUUGAAACUGGCAGUCUGGAGUACAGUAGAGGUGAGCGGAAUUCGAGGUGUAGCGGUGAAAUGCUUAGAUAUCACGAAGAACUCCGAUUGCGAAGGCAGCUCACUGGACUGCAACUGACACUGAGGCGCGAAAGUGUGGGUAUCAAACAGGAUUAGAUACCCCAGUAGUC